This 291-nucleotide ribosomal RNA is filed under the name uncultured Comamonadaceae bacterium. Its description in RNAcentral is "partial 16S ribosomal RNA". It matches the Rfam family "Bacterial small subunit ribosomal RNA", at positions 505 to 796 of the family's 1533-position model. Lineage: Bacteria; Pseudomonadati; Pseudomonadota; Betaproteobacteria; Burkholderiales; Comamonadaceae. The record is from RNAcentral.
GUGUCAGCAGCCGUGGUAAUACGUAGGGUGCAAGCGUUAAUCGGAAUUACUGGGCGUAAAGCGUGCGCAGGCGGUUAUGCAAGACAGGUGUGAAAUCCCCGAGCUCAACUUGGGAACUGCACUUGUGACUGCAUAGCUAGAGUACGGUAGAGGGGAUGGAAUUCCGCGUGUAGCAGUGAAAUGCGUAGAUAUGCGGAGGAACACCGAUGGCGAAGGCAAUCCCCUGGACCUGUACUGACGCUCAUGCACGAAAGCGUGGGGAGCAAACAGGAUUAGAAACCCGCGUAGUCC